GUGAUUCCUUCAGCAGCAUAUAUUCUAAAAUUGGAACGACACAGAGAAGGUUAACAUGGCCCCUAUGAAAGGAUGACAUACAAAUUUGUGAAGCAUUCCAUAUUUUU
RNAcentral lists this small nuclear RNA (107 nucleotides) under Moschus moschiferus (Siberian musk deer). The record is from RNAcentral. Lineage: Eukaryota; Metazoa; Chordata; Mammalia; Artiodactyla; Moschidae.